CACCUACGGGAGGCUGCAGUCGAGAAUCUUCCGCAAUGGGCGAAAGCCUGACGGAGCGACGCCGCGUGGACGAUGAAGGCCCUCGGGUUGUAAAGUCCUUUAGCGCAGGAUGAAUCGCAAGACGUUAAUAUCGUCUUGCCUGACGUUACUGUGUCAAAAAGCUCCGGCUAACUUCGUGCCAGCAGCCGCGGUAAGACGAAGGGAGCGAGCGUUGUUCGGAAUCACUGGGCAUAAAGGGCACGUAGGCGGCCUGGUAAGUUAGAUGUGAAAGCCCCUGGCUCACCCAGGGAAUUGCAUUUAAAACUGCCGGGCUUGAGGCCGGGAGGGGAGAGUGGAACUCCUAGUGUAGCGGUGAAAUGCGUAGAUAUUAGGAGGAACGCCGGUGGCGAAAGCGACUCUCUGGCCCGGUUCUGACGCAGAGGUGCGAAAGCUAGGGGAGCAAACAGGAUUAGAUACCCUGGUAGUCCUAGCCCUAAACGAUGAGCACUAAGUAGGGGAGGUUCCGAUGCUUUCUCUGCUGUAGCAAAUGUAUUAAGUGCUCCGCCUGGGGAGUACGGUCGCAAGGCUAAAACUCAAAGGAAUUGACGGGGGCUCACACAAGCGGUGGAG
RNAcentral lists this ribosomal RNA (609 nucleotides) under uncultured bacterium. RNAcentral's name for it is "bacterial SSU rRNA". It matches the Rfam family "Bacterial small subunit ribosomal RNA", at positions 335 to 937 of the family's 1533-position model. The record is from RNAcentral.